Molecule: ribosomal RNA, 558 nt
Filed under: uncultured bacterium
Lineage: Bacteria
Description: bacterial SSU rRNA
Rfam family: Bacterial small subunit ribosomal RNA
Source: RNAcentral
UAGAUUCAAAGCGAAGAACCUUAUCUGGUCUUGACAUACACGGAAUUCGGCAGAGAAGCCUUAGAGCCUUCGGGAGCCGUGAGACAGGUGGUGCAUGACCGUUGUCAGCUAAUGUUUUGAAAUUUUGGGUUAAGUCCCGCAACGAACGCAACCCUUAUCCUUCGUUGCCAGCGGUUCGGCCGGGAACUCAAAGGAGACUGCCACUGAUAAACUGGAGGAAGGUGGGGAUGACGUCAAGUCAUCAAGGCCCUUACGACCAGGGCUACACACGUGAUACAAUGGGGUAUACAAAGAGAAGCGAGACAGCGAAGUGGAGCGGACCUCAUAAAGUACGUGGUAGUCCGGAUCGGAGUCUGCAACUCGACUCCGUGAAGUCGGAAUCGCUAGUAAUCGUGGAUCAGAAUACCACGGUGAAUACGUUCCCGGGCCUUGUACACCCCGCCCGUCUCACCAUGGGAGUGGGUUGCAAAAGAAGUAGGUAGCUUGACCUUCGGGAGGGCGCUUACCACUUUGUGUUUCAUGAGUGGGGAGAAGUGGUAACAAGGUACCCAAGGGGGG